AUGUUUCAUCUUCCAAUGUCCUCGGUUGCUGUACAACAAAGUCAAGAACUGCACAGCAUGUUAACUGAAGGAUUCAACAACAGCAAUAGAGACACUUGGCACUUCAAGUGGCAGUGUAAGCACUAUUCCAAUAAAAGAAUAUAUCUACAUCUUAUUGGUGACCCACCUGAGGCCCCAAAGCAUUUUCAAUGGAUUUGGAAAUCCAACUGCCUACCAAAACAAAAGUUCUUCUUUUGGCUGUUGCUGCUGGAUAGACUUAAUACCAGAGAUUUGCUGGUGAGGAAAAACUCCUACAUUGAAGAGAGCAGUUGUGUUCUUUGUGAGGAGGAACCCAAUGAAUGUCUUCAACAUCUUUUCUUCAGCUGUGAUUUCAGUCAAUUUUUUUGGAUGAAUUUGGAUUGUAAUGGAACAUUGACCUGA
RNAcentral lists this ribosomal RNA (420 nucleotides) under Triticum aestivum (bread wheat). RNAcentral's name for it is "partial small subunit ribosomal RNA". The record is from RNAcentral. Lineage: Eukaryota; Viridiplantae; Streptophyta; Magnoliopsida; Poales; Poaceae.